Molecule: long non-coding RNA, 472 nt
Organism: Xenia sp. Carnegie-2017
Lineage: Eukaryota; Metazoa; Cnidaria; Anthozoa; Malacalcyonacea; Xeniidae
Exons: 2
Source: RefSeq, a predicted model, not a curated record
GCCAGUGUAUUUUUUCAAAUCAUCCUUAGCUUCGAAACGAAAUGACUUCACGUAUUACAGGAAUAGAAUUUCUGACGCAAUCUUGUUUUAUUGGCAAUAUAAAACGUCAAGACAGAUAUACUUUAUAGUUGGAAUUUCUACCAAAGUCGAUCUAUUGAAAGAAAUACAAGUUGUUCAGUCGAGCCGAGAUUAAAAACCUGGAGUAUGAUACGCAGGAAUUUAGGUCCUAUGAUCCUCGAUAUUAGGGAAUGAAAAUUGAUCAAUGUUUUGCAACAUACAAAGAAAUUUCUCCGCGUCCUGUUUUCACCUUAUGCUGAAUUAAAGUGACGAUUAUCCUGUGUGAAGCUACUGUAAAAACAUUGAAACAAUCUCAUAAGAACUGUUGGAGUUGAAGCAAUUAUGCUCACAUGGCUAAGCAGUCAUGUUGUGUACUUAGAAUAUAUAUUAAUAAUUCAUAUUCUUUCUAUUGUCA